CACGAACUUACGAGCUCCUGGAGGUCUCAGCGGUGUUCGCCUGUUUGCGUAUCCGAUUUUAGUUCCAUGCGUUCACGGGCAAACACUGCUGUUCGUGCGUAAGAUGGCCGUGAACACGUGUAAAGUCCCGAAAUGGCGGCCAUCUAACCUGAGCACAAAGGGAUUCGUGUGAAACCAUGCUAACGGCUCCAAAAGCACUGGGAGGUAAAAUACCACUUAACUGUUCCCCUGGGUGGUCCGAUGUUCGGUAUUUUGAGCUGUAUUCUCC
This is a non-coding RNA of Pelobates cultripes (western spadefoot toad), 268 nucleotides long. The record is from the annotation of a GenBank genome assembly. NCBI's taxonomy places the organism in Eukaryota, Metazoa, Chordata, Amphibia, Anura, Pelobatidae.